UGCAGUCGACGAGGAGCCUUGGUGUAGCAUACAUCGGAGCUUCUAUUCGCGAACGGGUGAGUAACACGUGGGGAACCUGUCCUCCAGUCGGGGAUACCCGUUCGCCCGGGCGGCUAAUACCGGAUGCGUUCUCGAGGUCGCAAGAUCUUGAGAGGAAAGGUGGCGAAAGCUACCGCUGGUGGAGGGCCUCGCGGCCUAUCAGCUAGUUGGUGAGGUAACGGCUCACCAAGGCUAUGACGGGUAGCUGGUCUGAGAGGACGACCAGCCACACGGGGACUGAGACACGGCCCCGACUCCUACGGGAGGCAGCAGUGGG
Molecule: ribosomal RNA, 316 nt
Filed under: uncultured bacterium
Lineage: Bacteria
Description: bacterial SSU rRNA
Rfam family: Bacterial small subunit ribosomal RNA
Source: RNAcentral